UAAAAAUCUGAUGUUACAGGUCUCCGCAAAAUCAUAAGACCAUGUAUGGGGGUUGAUGCCUGCCCAGUGCCGGAAGGUCAAGGAAGUAGGUGAACUGAUGACAGGGAAGCGUAAGACUAUAACGGUCCCAAGGUAGUGAAAUUCCCUGUCGGGUAAGUUCUGACCCACACGAAAGGUGUAA
This is a non-coding RNA of Triticum aestivum (bread wheat), 181 nucleotides long. The record is from Rfam. Lineage: Eukaryota; Viridiplantae; Streptophyta; Magnoliopsida; Poales; Poaceae.